RNAcentral lists this long non-coding RNA (619 nucleotides) under Ananas comosus (pineapple). RNAcentral describes it as "long non-coding RNA (ACOM_LNC000140)". The record is from RNAcentral. Lineage: Eukaryota; Viridiplantae; Streptophyta; Magnoliopsida; Poales; Bromeliaceae.
UGAGUGACAUGCUGGACAGAAAGGGACCGGUAGAAAUUUUAAGUUGAGUAUGAUAAUUCAUUUAAGUUGCUUAGUCAGAAAGAAAAUGGUAAAUAAAUUGUCGUGCUUAAUUUAAAUAUUAUAUGUAAUUUUUUUCUGUUAGCAUGACGCUUGCAUAAAUAAAAAAAAGUUGAGUUAUAGAAAAAUUUUUCUGUCAAUGUCUCUUUUUUUUACUUCCCUUCAAUGUUAUUUAAAAACCUACACUUUACUCUCUUAAAAAAUAGAAAAAUAUUCACUUAAUAAAAAUCGCCGCCAGUGUUCCAUUAGGAUUCUGUUUAUAUCCUAUUUUUUAUAUCAAAAAUAUCCCUGAAAUCCUCCGCCGUGCCAUCUUGCCCUCUGUCGCUCCGCCUUGCCCUCGCCUACCUCUCUGUCCAUGCUCAUACACAUGCCCUCGCCCGCCUCCACCGCUCACUCUCGCUCUCGCCCUCGCUCACCUCUCCGUCCACGCCCAUCAUGAAGAAGAUGAAGGGCAAUUGGUCAUUUUGUUACAGUGUACUCUUGUGAAUAUUUUUUAUUUUUUUAAAAAAAAUUUCUGUAAUUUAGCUAAAAAAAAUCUAUUUCUGUAAAAUUAUAUUUUAUU